GUAGGGAAUAUUGGGCAAUGGAGGCAACUCUGACCCAGCCAUGCCGCGUGCAGGAAGAAGGCGCUACGCGUUGUAAACUGCUUUUAACCGGGAAGAAACCCCAGGACGUGUCCUGGGUUGACGGUACCGGAGGAAUAAGCACCGGCUAACUUCGUGCCAGCAGCCGCGGUAAUACGAAGGGUGCAAGCGUUAUCCGGAUUCAUUGGGUUUAAAGGGUGCGUAGGCGGAGCGUUAAGUCAGUGGUGAAAUCCUGCAGCUUAACUGUAGACUUGCCAUUGAUACUGGCGCUCUUGAGUGCGCUUGAAGUGGGCGGAAUGUGCCGUGUAGCGGUGAAAUGCUUAGAUAUGGCACAGAACACCAAUUGCGAAGGCAGCUCACUAAGGCGAUACUGACGCUGAGGCACGAAAGCGUGGGGAUCGAACAGGAUUAGAUACCCCUGUAGUCC
Molecule: ribosomal RNA, 445 nt
Filed under: uncultured bacterium
Lineage: Bacteria
Description: partial 16S ribosomal RNA
Rfam family: Bacterial small subunit ribosomal RNA
Source: RNAcentral